Long non-coding RNA from Grammomys surdaster, 854 nucleotides. RefSeq lists it as uncharacterized. NCBI's taxonomy places the organism in Eukaryota, Metazoa, Chordata, Mammalia, Rodentia, Muridae. The transcript has 2 exons. The record is from RefSeq and is a predicted model, not a curated record.
GGAACGCAAGAGCUGUAUUGAUCAUUUUACCCUGAUGGUGCCUCUGAGACGCACGGAUCAGUAGACAGCUGGACUGAACUCCUGGCAUUUGGACUGAGCAGUCCAUACGGUCUCACCAACAGCACUGCCUAACCGUGAGCUGAAUGAAGACAACAGUAAUAAUCAUACUAAAGUGGACCCGGGCAGUGCAGUGAGGGGGACACCACACGAGGCCUCAACCCUACACAACGAGCUAAAGGCAACGAAGGCGUGCUGACAGCAGGAGAAACAGUCUUCCUCAAGGAAGAACGCAUCAAUUGGUUUUCUAAUACCAACAGGAAAAGUUUUAAAGACUAUAAGAAACAGUGUUACCGAAGUGUCUUAGUCAGGGUUUCUAUUGCUGUGAUGAAAACACCCUGACCAAAAAUCAAAUUAGAAGGUAGCUACUUGUAUUCUAAUGUUAAUUGGGUCCCCCAAAACUGUUUGUAUGAGCAGAUCUACAUGUAGCUUUUGGGAACCUGCCCCCAGUUAACUUUGAUUGGUAAGUAAAGAUGUCAGCAGCCAAUAGUUGGGGAGGAGAGACAUAGGCAGGGUUUUAGGUUUUCUGGGCUUGGGUCCAUGAGGAAGGAGGAGGAGAGACGUCAUGCAUCAGGAGUGUACUGGACAGAGAAGGAGAGCUGCCAUGUAAAGGAGCCAAGAGAAUGUGGCCCGGAGUGCUGCUCAACUGGCUCAAGAGCAGCCAAGAUGGAACAUAGGCGUUAGUAAAUAGUGACUCGGAGUUAUCAUCAUGAGGUAGAUGCUAACAACAUGGAAGUUAGGCAGUUGCCCAGCUGUUUACGGUGCUGCUUAAGACAUAUUAAAAUAUAUAUAAAGGC